CUAGCGACUUCAGAGUUUGAUCCUGGCUCAGGACGAACGCUGGCGGCGUGCCUAACACAUGCAAGUCGAACGGAGUGUUUCGCUGAAUUGAUGUAAGCUUGCUUAUGGAUUUUCUUGAAACACUUAGUGGCGGACGGGUGAGUAACGCGUGAGUAACCUGCCUUACAGAGGGGGACAACAGUUGGAAACGACUGCUAAUACCGCAUAACAUAGCGAGAAGGCAUCUUCUUGUUAUCAAAGGAGCAAUCCGCUGUAAGAUGGACUCGCGUCCAAUUAGAUAGUUGGUGGGGUAAAGGCCUACCAAGUCGACGAUUGGUAGCCGGACUGAGAGGUUGAACGGCCACAUUGGGACUGAGACACGGCCCAG
Molecule: ribosomal RNA, 367 nt
Filed under: uncultured bacterium
Lineage: Bacteria
Description: bacterial SSU rRNA
Rfam family: Bacterial small subunit ribosomal RNA
Source: RNAcentral